UGAAUACGAGAUGCUACGGCAUCGAAGCAGUCUAUGUCAUACUUCCAAGAAAAGCUUGCACUGUCAUAAACAAAUAAUGCCUGUACCAUAACCGACACAGGCGGGUAGGUAGAGUAUACUAAGGGGCGCGAGAUAACUCUCUCUAAGGAACUCGGCAAAAUGACUCCGUAACUUCGGAAGAAGGAGUGCCUUAUUUUAUAAGGUUGCAAUAACAAGAUCCAAGCAACUGUUUACCAAAAACACAGGUCUCCGCUAAGUCGUAAGACGAUGUAUGGGGGCUGACGCCUGCCCAGUGCCAGAAGGUUAAAGAAGUUGGUUAGCAUUAGCGAAGCUGAUAACUGAAGCCCUGGUGAACGGCGGCCGUAACAAUAACGGUCCUAAGGUAGCGAAAUUCCUUGUCGGGUAAGUUCCGACCCGCACGAAAGGCGUAAUGAUUUGGAUACUGUCUCGGAGAGGGGCUCGGUGAAAUAGACUUGUCUGUGAAGAUGCGGACUACCUGCACCAGGACAGAAAGACCCUAUGAAGCUUUACUGUAACUUGAGAUUGAAAUUGGACUUUAUUUGCGCAGUAUAGGUGGGAGACGUUGAAAAUAUUCUUGCGGGAAUAUUGGAGUCAUCAGUGAGAUACCACUCUUAUAAUGUUAGAUUUCUAACUUUGUAUCAUUAUCUGGUCAAAGAACAGUCUCAGGCGGGCAGUUUGACUGGGGCGGUCGCCUCCCAAACGGUAACGGAGGCGCACAAAGGUUUCCUCUGAACGUGUAGAAAUCGUAUCUAGAGUGUAAAGGCAUAAGGAAGCUUGACUGUGAGACCUACAAGUCGAGCAGGGACGAAAGUCGGUCUUAGUGAUCUGACGGUGCUGAGUGGAAAGGCCGUCACUCAACGGAUAAAAGUUGCUCUAGGAUAACAGGCUGAUCUCCCCCAAGAGUUCACGUCGACGGGGAGGUUUGGCACCUUGAUGUCGGCUCAUCGCAUCCUGGGGCGGUAGUACGUCCCAAGGGUUGGGCUGUUCGCCCAUGAAAGCGGUACGCGAGCUGGGUUCAGAACGUCGUGAGACAGUUCGGUCCAUAUCCGGUGUAGGCGUUAGAAUAUUGAGAGGAGCCUUCUUUAGUACGAGAGGACCGAGAAGGACAUACCUCUGGUGUACCAGUUAUCGUGCCAACGGUAAACGCUGGGUAGCUAUGUAUGGAGAGGAUAACCGCUGAAAGCAUCUAAGUGGGAAGCCCACCUCAAGAUAAG
RNAcentral lists this ribosomal RNA (1235 nucleotides) under metagenome. RNAcentral describes it as "bacterial LSU rRNA". It matches the Rfam family "Bacterial large subunit ribosomal RNA", at positions 1564 to 2808 of the family's 2925-position model. The record is from RNAcentral.